CCGUUUCUGUCCCAUGCUGAUGACGUAACAGAUAUGUUCGAGAGGCGUUCUCUGACCCAUGUAAACUAUAGACAAAUGCGAACGGUCUUCUAACACAUUACACUGCCAGUAAGCUCGAGGAAAUGAAGCCCUGUACUUGGUCCCUCCCGGCCGCAUGAUGACGUUGUCCUGCUGACACUACGGAUGUGGCCCUCAUUGCUGGAAUCUAUUUUUAGAUCCAGCCUCAAGGGCCAGACAGACAAACAGGGCAAACUGUCACUCAGACCACCUGCCACAGUUAGGCAAGCAGCCAAGGCAUGCUGGCUGUGCGAGACUGAAAAAAGAAUAAGAGUACUGCAGUUGUGACCUUCAUCAGAGGCUUCAACUUCCUGAGAAUUUUGUUUAGGUUGAUAGAAAUAUCUCAGUGUCCCUGGUGACCUCUGUAUUGUUGGAGCUACGUGAAGGGGAGGAAAAUAGAAGCACAUAUGUAUCACUCAUGGGCAGGACAGUAUAGCUGCAGCCGAGGACAGUGGGUAUCAUAUCCUCACUAUUGUUUCAUGGAAUGUAGGGAUUUUAGGAAUUCCACUAAAUUCACACAUAAAGGUCAUUUUAUUCAUCACAAGGUAGUACUCGCCCUGUUGGAGUACUUGUACAAUGUCUUAUGUGCUGCUGAAUUUAAAGCUGAGAAUAAAAUCAAGAUGAUGUUGUCAGGUCAAACUGA
This is a long non-coding RNA of Oreochromis niloticus (Nile tilapia), 700 nucleotides long. RefSeq lists it as uncharacterized. Lineage: Eukaryota; Metazoa; Chordata; Actinopteri; Cichliformes; Cichlidae. The transcript is spliced from 2 exons. The record is from RefSeq and is a predicted model, not a curated record.